GGAGGAAUUGAUGAUUCGACAUAAGAAUUUAGGCCAGUGGAUAGAGGUGGGUCCACCUGAUAUUUUAGCCCAUGGAAUUUUAACGGUGGUCUAACCUAAUGAACCCUUCAGAUCUGUUAUGUGGCGGGAUGACACGAGUGGAGGUAGCCUCCUCUCCAUGCUACCCGCGCGAACACCGUCUUCUCUCUGUUGAUUCUAUCCCGUCUAGUAAAAUCAUCAAAAUCAAAGCAAAAGCAACCCUCAACGCAUUUAAAUACUGUCCCUUCUCACUCCAAACCCAUCACCCUUCUCAUAUCCUCCUUUCAAAACGCCCUGCUACUGGGAAAAAAAAAAAAACAGAGAAAAACCAUGUCCUUUCCCAAUCCAUAGUCAUUUGGAUUUCAUCUCUCUUGCAUUGAGAUUUGGUAAUCCUUUCUGGGUUUUGGUGGGUUUUGUUUGAGAAGAAAAACUCGUCUUUCAUUCUGUGUUUUUCAAGCUCUAUACAUUGUAAACUCAAGUUUCCUGUACUCAGGCUUGAAUAAUAUUUCUGGGUUUUUGUUGGUUUUGUUCGGGGAAAAAAAAAAACCGUCUCUCUUUCUGUGGUUUUCGAGCUCUAGAAAUCAGUAGCUGAGGCUCUGCGCAUUAGAAAUUCUUAGUUUUGGUGGGUUUUUGUUGGGAAUUUCAAUGGACAAUACGAACCUUUAUAGAGUGGGAAGUUUGCGGCGGAAUGGCUCUUCGAUGUGGAGGAACACCACUGUCGAUAGUGUUUUCUCGCAGUCUUCUCGUGAGGAAGAUGACGAAGAAGCUCUGAAGUGGGCGGCUCUCGAGAAGCUCCGACGUACGAUCGAAUUAGGAAAGGGAUACUGAGUGGAGUCUCUGGUGAGGAGCACAAGGAAGUCGACAUUCAGCAUCUCGGGUUUCAAGAGAAGAAGACCGUGUUGGAGAGAUUGGUUAGAGUCGCCGAGGAGGACAAUGAGAAGUUCCUUUUGAAGCUGAAGAACCGAAUCGAUAGAGUUGGAAUUGAGGUGCCAACCAUUGAAGUCCGCUACGAGAAUUUGAAUAUUGGAGCAGAAGCCUACGUCGGUAGCAGAGGUUUACCGACCGUCCUCAAUUUCACCUUUAAUAUACCCGAGGGAUUCUUGAAUUAUCUCUACAUUCUUCCGAGCCAAAAGAAACCAGUAUCAAUCCUUCAUCAUGUUAGCGG
Long non-coding RNA from Magnolia sinica, 1183 nucleotides. RefSeq lists it as uncharacterized. NCBI's taxonomy places the organism in Eukaryota, Viridiplantae, Streptophyta, Magnoliopsida, Magnoliales, Magnoliaceae. The transcript has 3 exons. The record is from RefSeq and is a predicted model, not a curated record.